UACAGAGGUCCCGAGCGUUGUUCGGAUUCAUUGGGCGUAAAGGGUGCGUAGGCGGCGAGGCCAGUCUGAUGUGAAAUCCCGGGGCUCAACCCCGGAACGGCAUUGGAUACUGCUUUGCUAGAGUACUGGAGAGGAGACUGGAAUUUACGGUGUAGCAGUGAAAUGCGUAGAGAUCGUAAGGAAGGCCAGUGGCGAAGGCGAGUCUCUGGACAGUUCCUGACGCUGAGGCACGAAGGCCAGGGGAGCAAACGGG
This 253-nucleotide ribosomal RNA is filed under the name uncultured bacterium. RNAcentral's name for it is "partial 16S ribosomal RNA". It matches the Rfam family "Bacterial small subunit ribosomal RNA", at positions 524 to 776 of the family's 1533-position model. The record is from RNAcentral.